GACAGAGGUGCCAAGCGCUAGGCGGAAUCACUGGGCUUAAAGCGUGUGUAGGUGGAUGCCUAAGUGCCUUGUGAAAUCCCACGGCUCAACCGUGGAAUUGCUGGGCAUACUGGGUGUCUUGAGCCAUCCAGGGGUCGCUGGAACAAACGGUGGAGCGGUGAAAUGCGUAGAUAUCGUUUGGAACGCCAAUGGUGAAAACAGGCGACUGGGGAUGAGCUGACACUGAGACACGAAAGCCAGGGGAGCAAACGGG
Molecule: ribosomal RNA, 253 nt
Filed under: uncultured bacterium
Lineage: Bacteria
Description: partial 16S ribosomal RNA
Rfam family: Bacterial small subunit ribosomal RNA
Source: RNAcentral